UGCAGUAGACGCUGAAGUCUGGUGCUUGCCUAGACGGAUGAGUUGCGAACGGGUGAGUAACGCGUAGGUAACCUGCCUCAUAGCGGGGGAUAACUAUUGGAAACGAUAGCUAAUACCGCAUAACAGUAUUUACCGCAUGGUAGAUGCUUGAAAGGAGCAACUGCUUCACUAUGAGAUGGACCUGCGUUGUAUUAGCUAGUUGGUGAGGUAACGGCUCACCAAGGCUUCGAUACAUAGCCGACCUGAGAAGGUGAUCGGCCACACUGGGACUGAGACACGGCCCAGACUCCUACGGGAGGCAGCAGUAGGGAAUCUUCGGCAAUGGGGGCAACCCUGACCGAGCAACGCCGCGUGAGUGAAGAAGGUUUUCGGAUCGUAAAGCUCUGUUGUAAGAGAAGAACUGUGAGAAGAGUGGAAAGUUUCUCACUUGACGGUAUCUUACCAGAAAGGGACGGCUAACUACGUGCCAGCAGCCGCGGUAAUACGUAGGUCCCGAGCGUUGUCCGGAUUUAUUGGGCGUAAAGCGAGCGCAGGCGGUUUGAUAAGUCUGAAGUAAAAGGCUGUGGCUUAACCAUAGUACGCUUUGGAAACUGUCAAACUUGAG
RNAcentral lists this ribosomal RNA (604 nucleotides) under uncultured bacterium. RNAcentral's name for it is "bacterial SSU rRNA". It matches the Rfam family "Bacterial small subunit ribosomal RNA", at positions 56 to 646 of the family's 1533-position model. The record is from RNAcentral.